Molecule: ribosomal RNA, 465 nt
Filed under: uncultured bacterium
Lineage: Bacteria
Description: partial 16S ribosomal RNA
Rfam family: Bacterial small subunit ribosomal RNA
Source: RNAcentral
GACGAACGCUGGCGGCGUGCUUAACACAUGCAAGUCGAACGGAAAGGCCCCUUUGGGGGUACUCGAGUGGCGAACGGGUGAGUAACACGUGAGUAACCUGCCCUUGACUUCGGGAUAACUUCAGGAAACUGGGGCUAAUACCGGAUAGGAAUCCUUGCUGCAUGGUGGGGGUUGGAAAGCUUCGGCGGUUUUGGAUGGACUCGCGGCUUAUCAGCUUGUUGGUGGGGUAGUGGCUUACCAAGGCUUUGACGGGUAGCCGGCCUGAGAGGGCGACCGGCCACAUUGGGACUGAGAUACGGCCCAGACUCCUACGGGAGGCAGCAGUGGGGAAUAUUGCACAAUGGGCGGAAGCCUGGUGCAGCAACGCCGCGUGCGGGAUGACGGCCUUCGGGUUGUAAACCGCUUUCAGCAGGGGCGAAGCUUGUGGUGACGGUACCUGCAGAAGAAGCACCGGCUAACUACGUG